UUGGGUGGGGCUGGUAUUUGGCAAGAAUGGCAUCUAAAAACUAUCAACCAGUGGAGAGAAGUAGUCAUUCCACAGUAAAGGUAGGAGACUACCUAUAUAUGUGGGGUGGGUUUGGGUUUGCAGUACACUAUGAUGUGAUGGAGGUGUAUCACUUAGCAACUGGUGCUUGGGCAGUGGCGUAUCCAAGUUAAAAAUUUAAGAUAUCUCCAAUCUUGAUCAAGGCCAGAGAACACAAUAAAUAAAGAAAACACUCAAAAAGAACUUUAGAGAAGAAAAGAGCAAGCCGAGCUAGUCCGAUAUAGUCGACUUCAUCAUCAUUAUUGUGGGCGUAGACGUACUUUAAUUAAAGACACGCCCAUUGUGAAUAUUAAUUAACCACAAAAAUUUUUUCGGCGCGCUUCGCGCGCCAUUUUUGCCCCACCAUCAUCUACAGUCUAGAUACGCCACUGUGCUUGGGAACAGAAACCUACUACUGGUACCCCACCACCAGGUACCAGUGGGUAUUCAUCUGUCGCUAUUGGGAAGGACAUAUAUUUUUUUGGUGGACUUGGUGGUGGUUAUCAAAACAGCUUACAUUGUUUCAAUGUGGAUUCAUUCAAGUGGAGGGAACUCUCUCCUUCUAGUUCUGAUCAUGGUCCAAUGAAGAAGGGCUACUGUGGAAUCGUGUUAGCUCAUUUUGACAGUGAAGACUACCUUGUAAUAAUCGGAGGACUGGGAUCAUCUUCUAUCAAUACUCCAAAGCAAUCUGAUGCUCAGUAUUCAGCUCAUGGUGGUUGUAAUGAGAUUGAUUAUUAUAGGAUUUCAUCAGAUCAAUGGAUAUCUCCUGUUGUUACUGGAGACAGACCACCUCCUAUUAGUUCCUUCACUCUAACACCAGUUACUAAUAACACUGCAGUAAUGUUCGGAGGCAAUACUGAUAAUGGAGAGAGUAGUAAACUGUAUAUGAUAAGUUUCACUAAGACAUCAGUGGAUAUAUUAGAAGUACCUAAUCCUGGAGGAUCAGUAC
Amphimedon queenslandica is the source of this 1006-nucleotide long non-coding RNA. RefSeq lists it as uncharacterized. The record is from RefSeq and is a predicted model, not a curated record. NCBI's taxonomy places the organism in Eukaryota, Metazoa, Porifera, Demospongiae, Haplosclerida, Niphatidae. The transcript has 5 exons.